RNAcentral lists this unclassified non-coding RNA (89 nucleotides) under Pseudomonas jessenii. Lineage: Bacteria; Pseudomonadati; Pseudomonadota; Gammaproteobacteria; Pseudomonadales; Pseudomonadaceae. The record is from RNAcentral.
UGUGGGAGCGAGCUUGCUCGCGAUGGCGUCAUUUCAGUCAAUACUUUUGUGACUGAUACACCGCUAUCGCGAGCAAGCUCGCUCCCACA